RNAcentral lists this ribosomal RNA (1042 nucleotides) under Ochromonas sp. HFCC75. Its description in RNAcentral is "eukaryotic LSU rRNA". It matches the Rfam family "Eukaryotic large subunit ribosomal RNA", at positions 96 to 1230 of the family's 3401-position model. The record is from RNAcentral. Lineage: Eukaryota; Chrysophyceae; Chromulinales; Chromulinaceae.
AAGCGGGAAGAGCUCAGACUGAAAACCUUCGGGGAUGUAGUCUGGAGAUGGGAUAUCGAAUCUCAGGAAGCCGAUAAAGUGGUCUGGAACGACACGCCGUGGAGGGUGACAGCCCCGUUCGUAUCGGUGGAAAGAGAAAGUAGAUACCUAUCAACGAGUCGAGUUGUUUGGGAUUGCAGCUCAAAGCGGGUGGUAAAUUCCAUCUAAAGCUAAAUAUGGAUAGGAGACCGAUAGCAAACAAGUACCGUGAGGGAAAGAUGAAAAGCACUUUGAAAAGAGAGUGAAAUAGUACCUGAAAUUGCUGAAAAGGAACCGCUGGGAAGCAGUGUGCGGGCCGUAGAGUCUCUCUACGGCAUGCAGGUGAGGCUUGCUUCGAUGGUGAGGGAAAAGGCGUGCUUGCACUGUCCUACCAAUCCUCGGAGUGACUCUCACGAAAUGCUUCUCAUCAACCCGUCUUGAAACACGGACCAAGGAGUCUAACAUGUGUGCAAGUGUUCGGGAGUCAAGUCCCAAGCGCGAAAUUAACGUAAAGGUGGGUUUCGGCCCGCUGAGGUAGGAAGCUUCGGCUGCACUAUCGACCGACCAUGAUCCUUCGAGUGAAAGGUUUGAGUGUGAGCAUACAUGUUGGGACCCGAAAGAUGGUGAACUAUGCUUGAGUAGGACGAAGCCAGGGGAAACUCUGGUGGAGGUCCGUAGCGAUUCUAACGUGCAAAUUGAUCGUCGAACUUGAGUAUAGGGGCGAAAGACUAAUCGAACCAUCUAGUAGCUGGUUCCUCCCGAAAUUUCCCUUAGGAUAGCUGCAACCGAACAGUUUUAUCAGGUAAAGCGAAUGAUUAGAGGCCUCAGGGGUGAAAUGCUCUUGACCUAUUCUCAAACUUUAAAUGGGUAAGAGCCCCGAGUUGCUUAAUUGAACUCGGCGGUCGAAUGACGGUUGCUAGUGGGCCAAUCUGGGUAAGCUAGAUUGGCGAUGCGGGAUGCUCCGAACGUUAAGUUAAAGUGCCAAAGUAUCCGCUAACCUAGAUCCCACAAAAGGUGUUGGUUC